GAACGCAUAUUGCGCUCUCUGGUAUUCCGGAGAGCAUGCUUGUUUGAGUAUCAGUAAACACCUCGACUCCCUUUCUUCUUGAAAUGGAGCUGGACUUGAGUGAUCCCAACGCUUUAUUCAUAAAGUGGCGGGGUACUUUAAAUGCAGGGGCAGCUGGACUUUUCUCUGAGCUAUAAGCAUAUCUAUUUAGUCUGCCUCAAAAACAGAUUAUUACCUUUGCUGCAGCUAACAUAAAGGAGAUUAGUUCUUGUGCUGACUGAUGCAGGAUUCACAAAGACCGCUUCGGCUGUCUUUGUAAACUCGAUCUCAAAUCAAGUAAGACUACCCGCUGAACUUAAG
This 339-nucleotide unclassified non-coding RNA is filed under the name Mortierella antarctica. RNAcentral's name for it is "sequence contains 5.8S rRNA gene". The stretch from base 1 to 53 matches the Rfam family "5.8S ribosomal RNA", at positions 102 to 154 of the family's 154-position model. The record is from RNAcentral. Lineage: Eukaryota; Fungi; Mortierellomycota; Mortierellomycetes; Mortierellales; Mortierellaceae.